UACGGAGGGUACAAGCGUUAAUCGGAAUUACUGGGCGUAAAACGCACGCAGGCGGCUUGUUAAGUCGGAUGUGAAAGCCCCGGGCUCAACCUGGGAAUUGCAUUCGAUACUGGCAAGCUAGAGUAUGUGAGAGGGGGGUAGAAUUCCAAGUGUAGCGGUGAAAUGCGUAAAGAUUUGGAAGAAUACCAGUGGCGAAGGCGGCCCCCUGGCACACUACUGACGCUCAGGUGCGAAAGCGUGGAGAGCAAACAGG
Molecule: ribosomal RNA, 253 nt
Filed under: uncultured bacterium
Lineage: Bacteria
Description: partial 16S ribosomal RNA
Rfam family: Bacterial small subunit ribosomal RNA
Source: RNAcentral